RNA transcript from Helianthus annuus (common sunflower), 1753 nucleotides. RefSeq lists it as uncharacterized. The record is from RefSeq and is a predicted model, not a curated record. The transcript has 6 exons. Lineage: Eukaryota; Viridiplantae; Streptophyta; Magnoliopsida; Asterales; Asteraceae.
AUAAAAAAAGGAACUUAAGAAACAUGUAUUGUAGAAACCCUAACAUACUCACUGGAGUUCCCCAACACCCACAUGCCACCUGAGUGUAAACCACCACCACACUACCGGAGACGCUCCGACCACCACCACAUCGCCGGAGACGCUCCGACCACCACCUUCAACCCCUGCACGUCACCCGAGAAGACCACCAUCUGCAACCUCUUCACGCCAACCGAGACAACCACCAUUUGCAAACCCUACACGCCAUCGAAGACGACCACCUCCAGCAACCCCUUCACGCACUCGUUCAUUCUUCACUGCCUCUGUACCCGCCACCACAGCUCAUCGAGCCAUAUUAAAGUCAUCCCUCUGAAACGCCAAGUUAAAGUGAUUAAUGAUAAAGAGGUUGAAAAAGCACUUGAUGAGGGCUAUAUUUGUGAGAAAUUUUGCGAGAUGUCUGUUAUUGAUGCCGAUUACCUAAGAGGAUAUAACAGAUGCAACAUUUGCAAUGCAAAGAAACUAGCUCAAAGAUCUGAUGAUGAGACUUACAAAGGAAUACACACUUGUCUCAGGCUUUCAGUAACCACUGAUUCCAUAAAUGAGAGUGAAUCCGCAUUAAGUAUCCUAAAAAACAGUGAUUACUCAACUACAGUCACUGAUAAUCCUUCUGGACUAAACUGUACAAAGAAUGGCAGUGCUAGCAUCAAAAAGUGGAAGAGAGAAAUGGAGGACAUUCAGUCUCCAUUUUUAAAACUUCAGUUAGCUUCAUCUUAUGAACCAGAUAUGAUAAUAUCAGAAGUAGCGGAAAAUGGCAGUUGGAACCUCUCAUCAUCAAAGGUAUGCUGCAAAAGAUGUCCUUUGUGUUUUCACGGUUUCACAAUUCAGUAACACAUAGAACGGAAACUCCUAUUUUUACACUUAACUGAAUGUGACAGUACUCGCACAGAAAAGAUGUCCUUUAUGCUCACUGACAGGGGUGUUUACGGUCCGGUGUGGCCAAUUUUAAUGAAAAUUUUGGGCCGAACCACUAACUACGGUUUUGGAAAGAAAAAAAAACUGAACGAGUCAGUUUUUACAGUUUGACAUUUCGGUUUUGACGGUUUUAGACCAAAAAAAUUUAUAAAGCAUAAUUUUCCUAUAUUAAAAAAAUAUAAGGAUGAAAAGGGAGGGUGGAAUGGUGACCAGACGGGGGUGUGGAAACUGACUAGUGACAGGCUGAUGGCAAACGACCAUGAAAAAUUAAACCGCAAACGUGUCUAAUGUAUAGCUGUCUGAUUUUAGAUAACAAAAGAUAAUAUAUUUAUUGAUGGAUAUCAAAAUUUGAUAUACAUGAUUCGACUGGACUAAAUGUCUCAUGUUCAGUUCUCUCAUAUAUUUGUUUUCACCAAAUAUAAAAGAACAUAUGCAUAAAUAUAUAUACGGAGGAAAAUUUCCGAUGACCACAACACCACAAUUGAUUUCUUGCCAUUUUCCAGCUCAAAACGCAGGAACCUCUACUAUCAUCUUAGAAAGUAUUUGGUGUAAAUGCGCCGUUUCUACCACUUCAAAGACCUAACUGCUUAACUUAACUUGAGUUCAGGUUAUCCUACUAAGUUUGGAAAGUAUUUGACUAAGUAUCUGAUGAAGAAGCGGAUGAUGACACGGAUAUGACGUACAAUUAUAUGUUAGGUAGUUUUAUGAUGUGUUUGUGAAUUGGUGACUUAAAACGAACCCGGAUUGUGACGUUUGUGACGUUUAUGCUUAUAUUUUUUUGAAAGGCAACCAUUUAUGCUUA